UAAAUGGCCACUACCUUGCCUCCAUUAUUUCAAGCAUUAUUUAUACCAGAGAAAAAUACUUGAGCAUCAAAGAGUAGUUUUCAAUAUGACAUUCAUUGACUUGCUGAAAGGAGGUGUCAGAUUUCAUUCAGAGAGGAUUUGAGGACCUACUACAUGUCAGCCCUGUGAGGCACAGGGUAAACAGAGACAAAUAAUAUUUCCUUAAAGUAUCUCCCACAAUAUAAUAGGAGAGACAGGAAGGAAGAAAGGGCCUGUGAUCUCAUGGCAUCCAAGGUGAGCAAACAGUGGGCAGAGGACACAACAGGAUGAGGAGAGCACCUCUCAGCUUGGUAGAGAGGAGCUUGGGGCCAGCACUACAGAGCGCGGGGAUGAGGUCUUCAAAGGCGAGUGACGGUUUGUCGUACAGCCACAGGAACCAGGGUGAAGCUGAGGCUGCCCACCAUCCUUUGAACACCUGCCCCAUAUUCCUGCUUCCAUAUCUGUCGUUACUGCAGAUUAGUUGCUCUCCAAAUUGCAUUUCCAUGCUGUGCUGUGUGAUUUGGAUUAAUAGGGACUGCAUUAAAUGCUUUCUCUGAGGAUCUUUCCCGUACUGGAGGCUGGAGGAAGCACUCAGUGUCUCGGGACAUUUUCAAGGCACUCAGUCUCACUGGGGUGACAGAUCUUAUCAGCAAAGACUUUUUACCCAAGAGGACAAAGUGUCCAAAUGGGUGCUUGUGGGAAUGUACUGGGGGUUGGGCAGUGUUUCAUUCUGUUUUGUGCUGCUAUAAUAGAAUACCACAGACUGGCUAGCUUAUAAAGAAAAUAAAUGUAUUGCUCACACUUCUGGAGGCUGGGAAAUCCAAUAUCAAGGGGUCGGCAUCUGGAGAUGGCUCAUCCGGCAACGGGAGGCAGAAGGGCACGGGAGUGCCUCCAGAGAGCCAGAGAGCAAAGGGGCUGCACUCCCUUUACACCAAAUGCACUCUGCAAUCAUGGUAUUGAUCCUGCACUUGAAGGGAAAAAAUUCUAUAACAGAAGUAGUAUUUGUUGUCUCCUGAGCCCAUCUGGAUCUACCUGAACUUGCUCCUUUUGGUAAGAAGGCAGCGUUUUGACUUAAGUGGGUGAGGAAGUCUAGCAGCCUCAGGUCCCCACAUGGAAUGCCUGUGUAUACUUGUCAGCAUCAGUUACAACUCCUUUAAUCCUCAGCGUGUGAAGGAGGGAGAGGAUUUUUCUCUUUGGCAGUGUCUGACAGAUUCUCCUGUUUGAGGAACGUUGCUGGCUAGUGACAUGGAGGAGCACUCACCAAGAGAGAAGGGGUUGAUUUUAUCACUGAAAGCCCAGCUCUGUGGUACAUUCUAGAAGCUCUCAACAUCUAAGUGAGUUUUACUCAAAGACUUUUCUGGGAAAAAGGAAACCUUCUGAAAUGAGAGAUUGUUGUUUAAAUUCUCAUUCUUCUUUCCCCUUCUCUCCCCAAGUCUGAUGGUGCGCACCAGAAGCUUCUCCGUCCUAUUGAAUCUAAUGAGAACAUCACGUGGGCAAGCGUUCAGUUAACACCCAAAAAGAGCUGCAGCCACAGACUGGCACUGCAUCAGGAAAGGCAGACGGGAACACAUUCUAGUGAAAUGCAGGAAGUUAGAGACACGAGGCAAAAAAGAUGUUAAAGAGUUUUGUGUCAGAGAUAGCAGAAACUCCUUAAUUACUUUUUGGAGUUUGGAUUUCUAAAUCACAGCUUUCUGGAA
RNAcentral lists this long non-coding RNA (1715 nucleotides) under Homo sapiens (human). Its description in RNAcentral is "HSALNT0372028". The record is from RNAcentral. Lineage: Eukaryota; Metazoa; Chordata; Mammalia; Primates; Hominidae.